CUGAAAUCACUGAAGAAAUCUAAAGCACUUGGUGACUCAGCAGACUAGAGAAUUGAAAUGAAGGAGUAGCUGAUUAAGGCUUUGAAUAUGAUGAAACAACAUCCAAGUUUUUCUCUCCAGCUACUUUUUGCUGUUAUCUGGAGUUCAAUAAGAUGAAUCAAUAUCCAAUUAUUGUGCACUUCAGUUUGCCUUAUAACAAUAUGUAUUAAUUCAUCACUACAAAUAUUUUAGUGUUCCAUUAUGCGAUACGUUGUAGUAUACUGUAUAACUCCAGGUGAAGUAAAGUAUAUGUUGAUGACAGGUUUCAAAAUUGAGGUAACAAAGGUUCCAUAACUAUAAGCAGCUAUAUCCUGGGAAUGAGAUGACUAUAUGCCCAUAAAGUGCUUUAGAACAAUUCUCUCAAUAAAUAAACAAACAAGGAACUAAGAGUGGUACUAUAUAGAAGCUGUAAUCAAUUUUAAGAAACUACAUCACAAAAAAGAGGCAUGAUUUCUGUAAUACAGCUUGCAGGAAAGACGAUAUAGCAGUGGAUCAGAUCGUAUCCUUACCAUAUCCAUGGUCCAUAUAGAGUUCCACCUUGAAGGAAUUCCAAAGUGAUCCAGUGCUACAAAAAAGAAACCAUGCUAGAAUUUCAUCAAUUCUAUAUAAGCAUCAGAUUUUGCAUUGUUCCAGUUUUCUCUUAACAUACCCUGCAUCAGAGUAAAAUCAUCACACACUUUUCUGACAAAAUUCAAUCAUAUUAACAGUUUGUAAAAACAAAUAUAAAACCAUCUUCCUAGGUAUUAAGAAUUCUGACUCCAUUGGGGCAUUUCAUCAAACAGCAUAUGGUUGAUUUGUUAGAAAAAAGGAAAAUUUUCUUACAUAAAACUCUUCUGGUAUGCAAUUCAUUCUGCUGAGCAACGCUACAUAUUUUUAUGUAAGGAUUUAUAUAGGAUUGGACAACUCUCCCCUUUCAACUAUGGUUUUGAGGUGGAGUUUGGUUCAACAUGUAUCAAGCAAAAUUAGUCUGUAGAAAUUCAACAUUAGUUUAGAAAUGUGAAACAAUAAUCCCUUUCUAGUAAAUGAGAUUUCUCUAUUCACACCGUUCAAAUACU
RNAcentral lists this long non-coding RNA (1094 nucleotides) under Medicago truncatula (barrel medic). RNAcentral describes it as "long non-coding RNA (MTRU_LNC005256)". Lineage: Eukaryota; Viridiplantae; Streptophyta; Magnoliopsida; Fabales; Fabaceae. The record is from RNAcentral.